This 707-nucleotide long non-coding RNA is filed under the name Gallus gallus (chicken). RNAcentral describes it as "lncRNA (ENSGALG00010025152.1)". The record is from RNAcentral. Lineage: Eukaryota; Metazoa; Chordata; Aves; Galliformes; Phasianidae.
CUUUGGACCUAAAGGGUCAUGUGGUAGAGAUCUGGGAAACACUGCUUUUGUACGGAAAGCCACUGUGGUUCUCCUCUUUGCAGCCAGCACAGGGUGCCUGGGAUAAGCAGGCAGACAGGCAUCUGAAGAAAGCAGGAGCAGGUGUGAAAGCAAAUCAUCCAGCAUCUCUCGUUCUUGCCAUUAUUUUGAGUUUCUGCACGGAUUCACACUGUGAUUGGGCCAAUGCACCCCGUCUCAGCUCAGCCCACAGCCCUGGCAGCCCCUUGGGGCAGGGUGGGCCUUCUGCUGGCAGAAGAGAUGAUGAAGGGAGAAUUCAAUGGAGAUCUAUAAAAUCCCGAGCGGCUCUGAGAAACAGCCUGAGCUCACUUCCCUUUCUUCCUUCUGCCCUGGAAUGGUGAGAGCAGCUCUGAGGCAGAGCAAGAGGAUGCCAACCAGCUGUCAGAGGAUGUGUUCGAGCUGUGUACUGAGCUCCUCUGUGGGAGCUGGGGCAGGCAGGAGCAGGAGAGCAACAUCCUCAUGCCUGGGGUGGGAUGGAGGGCUGGGAAGCUUCAGAGAGAUUUCCUGCUGCCAGGACACAGGAAAGGGAGUUAAACAAUUGAAUAGAACAAAAAAUAUAUAUAUUUUCUCAGGCUUCAGCAGAAUGCCCAGGUAGGGUAAAUCAUUAAAGGCAGACGUGUUUCUUGCUUGUGUGCCCUGCUCUGCCUGUG